Long non-coding RNA from Alligator mississippiensis (American alligator), 1300 nucleotides. RefSeq lists it as uncharacterized. The transcript has 3 exons. The record is from RefSeq and is a predicted model, not a curated record. Lineage: Eukaryota; Metazoa; Chordata; Crocodylia; Alligatoridae.
CACUGACAAACUGCUUGCUGUGAGGGUACACCUUGUACUGACAAAACUAUUGCUUCAUCCAGCCUGUUUUAUUCUGGGAACAGAACUAUCUUGGCAAAAGUGAGUUUUGUCAGUGUAAUUAUAUCUACACAAGGGGCUUCUGCCAGCAACACUGUUGGUGAGAGAACACAACCUCGCAACUCUCCUCUUUGACAAAGCUGUGGUUGCAAAAGUUUGCAGAUUAUAGCUGGCCUAAGGAAGAGGUUUACUGUCCUAUAGGUUUGUAAGCGAUACAGCAGUACAAAGUUUAAACACUGUGGAAUGGUGAGGCUGGAAAAACUGCAAGAAGGACCCUGAAAAGACAGCCCUUCCUUACUUCGCUUCUGGUCUGAGCAUAGGUAAAUGCCCAAAAGUGCAAGGAUCCUGAUGCCAGAUGCUGGAGCUCUAAAGGGAGCUGCUGACUGAUUGAUAGUCACCAAGAGGGAAUGUUUGCAUCAAAUGAACUAUACAAGAGAAGACUGCAAAGGAGAACUGGCUGUACAUCAUUAGCUCAUUAUGAAUGUGACCAAAAAUUGGAUUACAUGCCAGACUGAAUAGCUGCAACAAGAAUUCAUCAAUCUGCAAUUCGUCUAUUACAGAAUAAAAUGAGAAGGGAGCUGAGCUACAAUUUUUGUCAACUUUAUAAACAAGUACAGAAAAAAAGGGCAUAAACAGCCAGAGAGGAGACACAACAAGAUGAAAAAAUCAAACUGAAAAAAGAAAUCAUUUGAAAAGGUGAAAAGCAGUCUUUACAUGGCUUGCAUAGCUACUUACAUAUUUAAGCAGUGCUUUUUUCCAGCUGUAUCAGUUUCAUGGUUAAAGCAAUGAGACCCAUUGUCUGCAACCUUGCCUUUUAGCCAGUCAUAGGGCCUGAUCCCACUAACAUUUAGUUCUGAACAUCAUUUUUACUAUUACAAUAGCCCCAUGACUACAAAGUAGGACAGGCAAUGUGUAUAUCAGAAGUGUAGUAAUAUUGAACUGGCAAAGCAAACCCCUUUGUUGGUGUACCUAUAAUGUUGAAGCUGUGCUCCAUACCAAUAGAGUGAAACCAUUACCAUCAUUCCCUAAAAGAGAAAGGAAGGUAUACAGUUUUGCCUGCAUAACUGUAUCUAUGCUCACUAGGGCUAGGUACAGACAUUCAAAAAGCCCAAGGCAAAAUGGAUCUAAGUUACAUGCUUGUCUGUAAGUGGUAUAGAUCAGAUCAGUAGUGAAGAGAACAUACAUUUGCCAAAGGGGGAUGGGAGGAGGGAGUGUGCCAAAUCUUAGACCAGGGUCCACCAUU